This 592-nucleotide ribosomal RNA is filed under the name Claviceps maximensis. Its description in RNAcentral is "eukaryotic LSU rRNA". It matches the Rfam family "Eukaryotic large subunit ribosomal RNA", at positions 44 to 658 of the family's 3401-position model. The record is from RNAcentral. Lineage: Eukaryota; Fungi; Ascomycota; Sordariomycetes; Hypocreales; Clavicipitaceae.
CAAUAAGCGGAGGAAAAGAAACCAACAGGGAUUGCCCCAGUAACGGCGAGUGAAGCGGCAACAGCUCAAAUUUGAAAUCUGGCCCCCCGGGGCCCGAGUUGUAAUUUGCAGAGGAUGCUUUUGGCGAGGCGCCUUCCGAGUUCCCUGGAACGGGACGCCAUAGAGGGUGAGAGCCCCGUCUGGUCGGACGCCGAGCCUCUGUAAAGCUCCUUCGACGAGUCGAGUAGUUUGGGAAUGCUGCUCUAAAUGGGAGGUAUAUGUCUUCUAAAGCUAAAUACCGGCCAGAGACCGAUAGCGCACAAGUAGAGUGAUCGAAAGAUGAAAAGCACUUUGAAAAGAGGGUUAAAUAGUACGUGAAAUUGUUGAAAGGGAAGCGCUUGUGACCAGACUUGGGCCCGGCGGAUCACCCAGCGUUCUCGCUGGUGCACUCCGGCGGGCCCAGGCCAGCAUCAGCUCGUCCCGGGGGACAAAGGCGGCGGGAACGUGGCUCCUCCGGGAGUGUUAUAGCCCACCGCGCAAUGCCCUGGGGCGGGCUGAGGACCGCGCAUCUGCAUGGAUGCUGGCGUAAUGGUCAUCAGCGACCCGUCUUGAA